AUCAUCCCGGCGGGCGGCUGCGCUCCGCGGAAUGCCAGCCAGCAGGUGGAGACGCACGAAAGCAAUCCCGGGGCACGCACGGGGCUGCCUUGGACAUCGCAUUCCCAGAGCCCCGGCCGAGCGCUCCGCUGGAAAAGUUCCGAACGAAAAUCUUGGAUUGCUGACAGAGCGUGUGACGGAGCAGCCCCGGCCGCGGAGCCGUCCAGCACCUUUCAUGUCUCACUCCAGACCCACCCCCCAACACUUAAUCACUUGUGGUAAGUUUAUUGGAGUUUAUUUCCUUUAAAUGAGAAAGGCUCUUCAAAUCCUGAAAUUCCAGUCUCGGUGUUCCAAGGGAAGUGUAUUUUGCAGCUUUUCCAUCGUUUGGGAUUCUUCUCCUCCCCCUCCACACUGCCUCUUGCACUCUUGUCUUUGGGGAGCAGAGUUUAACAUGCCACGGAGGAGAUAGCCUGCAUGCAGAGUCCCUGAGACAUAAACACACUUCAGGAACAAAUUCACCCCAGCACGCUUCCAAAAGUGGAAACCGCAUUCCAUCUGCGCCCUUAUCAGCUGGUCAAUAGCUGGGAUGCUGAAUGGACAUUCCUCAAAGCGAAGAUUAUGAGAACAUGCAUUACUGCUCGGCGGUGGUUCACCAGCUGCCCAGCUCUCUCUGCCCAAGAGCAGAUGAGCUCAAAGUGGCUCGGGCUGGGGGCUUUGGGAAUGCUGUGCAGGAAUUUGCCACACGAAGCUGCAAAACUCUCUUCAGGUGACUUCUGUGGUGGUGAAGAAGCCCUGUGUUCAGUCAGCUCAGGUUUGCUGUGCUGUGACAUCAAUGACUUCCGGGCUGUCACCCUGACAGAAAAAUCAGAGGCCAUGUGAGCAAGCUUGUCACGCACCCUGCCUGAUGAUAAGG
This is a long non-coding RNA of Hirundo rustica (Barn swallow), 892 nucleotides long. RefSeq lists it as uncharacterized. NCBI's taxonomy places the organism in Eukaryota, Metazoa, Chordata, Aves, Passeriformes, Hirundinidae. The record is from RefSeq and is a predicted model, not a curated record. The transcript is spliced from 3 exons.